This 250-nucleotide ribosomal RNA is filed under the name uncultured bacterium. RNAcentral describes it as "partial 16S ribosomal RNA". It matches the Rfam family "Bacterial small subunit ribosomal RNA", at positions 524 to 773 of the family's 1533-position model. The record is from RNAcentral.
UACGUAUGUCUCGAGCGUUAUCCGGAAUUACUGGGUGUAAAGGGUUCGCAGGCUGAAAUGUAAGUCAGGUAUGAAAGACCGGAGCUCAACUCCGAGUUUGUGCUUGAAACUGUAUUUCUAGAAUUAGGGAGAGGUAAGCGGAAUUCUAAGUGUAGGGGUGCAAUCCGUAGAUACUUAGAGGAACACCAAAAGCGAAGGCAGCUUACUGGAACUAUAUUGACGCUCAUGAACGAAAGCGUGGGGAGCAAAA